This is a long non-coding RNA of Polypterus senegalus (gray bichir), 530 nucleotides long. RefSeq lists it as uncharacterized. The record is from RefSeq and is a predicted model, not a curated record. Lineage: Eukaryota; Metazoa; Chordata; Cladistia; Polypteriformes; Polypteridae. The transcript has 3 exons.
CUCACCGUGAGGUUAUUAACAACGUUACAUAGAUAGCUAAAAUACUGCUUUGCUCUUUGCAGCUGAUAAGUAACACAUUUCCGCAUAUAAGCCAAUGGAUUUACUUGACAAAGUCAUGCUGGAAAUAUUAAAAGUUGAAAAUGUUACAGAAGAUCUUCUAGGGACUCUUUCAUGUAAAGAUCUGAACAUUUCCUUUGAAGAAAACCUCAUGGCCAGCAGUACAUCAAGAGGAGCUGCAGUUUUCUGUGCAGCAAGAUAACUUACCAGACAGCUGUACAUCUCCCUCCUUUCUGAAUGCAAUACUCUAAAAAAUGCCAGUCUUUCACCUACCCCUCAAUCCAGUGAGCAAGGAUGUUCCAGAAAACUUUUAAGAGAAGCCAGCCCCUCUAAAAUCAUUCAACUCCCAUGCCCCGAAUACAUACUUCAUAGUGACAGUGAGUUGGAGCAGGUUAGAAAACAUUACUUUGAACUGUAGCACAUAGGGAAAGAGGAGCAUUGUAUUCUUUCAAAGGAUCUGCACUGUAGAUUAA